UUUAAGAUAUUUGGACAAGAGGAAAAAUAACCCUUCCUUCCCAUAAAUCCGGAGUGAAAACAAGGAGAAUGCAUAAUCCACCUGCCUUGAUUCAGGACCAUGUAAAUUACAUCAGCUGCAGUCAUAGAUUUUGUCAGCCUCCAAGAAAUCAUCCCCAUAGGACCAAAAUCCAGAUCCUCUUAUCAAUAUUUUAAUGGAUUCACUAUGAAAGAAGGCCUUUGCAUUGCUGCUGACUCCAUCAGAAUCUCAGAAGUCUUCCUGGAUCAGAAGGGGACCCAGACAAUUAGAACCUGGAAGGCCCGCUACUCAUAGGCAUGAGGCCAGAAGACUUGCCCUAGUGCCGAAAUGUUGUUCUGUUAAUGUGUAUCUCAUGCCCAGUAUUCUUAUUAAUAAGGCACUAAAUAAGGGACAAUCCAGCGUUUCCGUUGCCAAAAGAACACAUCUCCCUUUUAAUUAAUCAAUGUAAAUGGCCUUUUACUGGAAAAUAGAAGUAAAGUAUUUCUAGAACAUAGGAUAUAAUGUUACAUUGGGGAAUAUCAUGCCCUCUUUUUAUUUUAAAGUGGAGAUUUUUUUUUUUUAAUGUAGAGACACUAGGUCUGGACCAACUGAGAGAGAGUUCAUUCACAAAUUAUUGCUGAACAUGUGCUAUUUGGGUAAACUCAGGACUUUUGUUUCCCAGUUCAUUUUUGCUACAACUCAUUUGCAUUCAAUCCAGUGGGAGUUCAGAUCAGGAAAAUUAUCUGGAUGGAGCAAUUUAUAAAAUAAAAAAUAACUUAUAUUCAAAA
Molecule: long non-coding RNA, 785 nt
Organism: Pan troglodytes (chimpanzee)
Lineage: Eukaryota; Metazoa; Chordata; Mammalia; Primates; Hominidae
Exons: 2
Source: RefSeq, a predicted model, not a curated record